Diospyros lotus (date-plum) is the source of this 418-nucleotide long non-coding RNA. RefSeq lists it as uncharacterized. Lineage: Eukaryota; Viridiplantae; Streptophyta; Magnoliopsida; Ericales; Ebenaceae. The transcript is spliced from 2 exons. The record is from RefSeq and is a predicted model, not a curated record.
CGAUGAACUCUUCAGUCUCAGAAAUGUCUUCCUCUCUCAUAGGUCCUCGCUCAGAGAGCUGCUAAAACUUGGGAGAAUGUGAUGUCCUUAUAUAGUAAAAGAUUGAUUAAUGCUACACCACAUCACUCAUGAUAUUUAUCAGUCCAUGGUAUUCAUUGAUAAGGUUUUUGUGUCCUUUAAACGGGAAGGGAAGAAAUGAAAGAAGCAGAAGAGAAGAAACAAGAAACAGAGGAAGAAGAAGAAGAAGAAGAGAUCAGAGUGAGAAACUCUCUCUCUCUCUCUCUCUCUAUUCUUGCUUUCCCCCUUCCUUAGGGUGUAUUUCGAAGUCACAUGAACUGAAAGACCAUGAGUUUGGUGCCUCUAACCCUUCAAACUCAACCUCACAAAAAAUAAAAAUUUUGAGUAGUCAUUGCUAGCU